This 291-nucleotide ribosomal RNA is filed under the name uncultured bacterium. RNAcentral's name for it is "partial 16S ribosomal RNA". It matches the Rfam family "Bacterial small subunit ribosomal RNA", at positions 334 to 622 of the family's 1533-position model. The record is from RNAcentral.
UAGUCCUACGGGAGGCAGCAGUGAGGAAUAUUGGUCAAUGGACGGAAGUCUGAACCAGCCAUGCCGCGUGCAGGAAGACGGCUCUAUGAGUUGUAAACUGCUUUUGUACAAGGGUAAACCUGAAUACGUGUAUUCAGCUGAAAGUACUGUACGACUAAGGAUCGGCUAACUCCGUGCCAGCAGCCGCGGUAAUACGGAGGAUCCAAGCGUUAUCCGGAUUUAUUGGGUUUAAAGGGUGCGUAGGCGGAUUGAUAAGUUAGCGGUGAAAUGUCGGGGCUCAACCCCGAAACU